This 515-nucleotide ribosomal RNA is filed under the name uncultured bacterium. Its description in RNAcentral is "bacterial SSU rRNA". It matches the Rfam family "Bacterial small subunit ribosomal RNA", at positions 777 to 1286 of the family's 1533-position model. The record is from RNAcentral.
AAUAGAUACCCAGGUAGUCCACGCCGUAAACGAUGGAUGCUAGCCGUUGGGCAGCUUGCUGCUCAGUGGCGCAGCUAACGCAUUAAGCAUCCCGCCUGGGGAGUACGGUCGCAAGAUUAAAACUCAAAGGAAUUGACGGGGGCCCGCACAAGCGGUGGAGCAUGUGGUUCAAUUCGACGCAACGCGAAGAACCUUACCAGCUUUUGACAUGUCCGGUAUGGGCACCAGAGAUGGAGCCCUUCAGUUCGGCUGGCCGGAACACAGGUGCUGCAUGGCUGUCGCCAGCUCGUGUCGUGAGAUGUUGGGUUAAGUCCCGCAACGAGCGCAACCCUCGCCCUUAGUUGCCAUCAUUCAGUUGGGCACUCUAAGGGGACUGCCGGUGAUAAGCCGGCGAGGAGGGUGGGGAUGACGUCAAGUCCUCAUGGCCCGUUACAGGCUGGGGCUACACACGUGCUACAAUGGCGGUGACAGUGGGAAGCGAACCCGCGAGGGGGAGCUAAUACUACAAAAACCGU